CUCAAAGAUUAAGCCAUGCAAGUGGCUAUUUUUUAAUAACCCUAUCAGUUUAAAUAUACGCGCAAGCGUACAUGCAACUGCAGAGAGCUGCUUAAUACAGUCACACUUGUCUUGACUCGGUUUAACUAAUUUACGAACAACGGAUAACUCAGGGAAAGUUUGGCUAAUACGUACGAACAAUUAUUAUUGCAUACAGUUACGCAUGAAUGAGAUUGUAUACGUGCGCGUGCUUGCACCGCACACGGCAGAUAUUGUGUAUUUAUAACACGAUACAUGUCAUACAAGCAUCUAUAGCAUCAAGUCACAGGGUUGGCAAGUGUAUUUUUGAACCUUCAAAGCAGUCACGCAUACGGAAGAGUAGUUUCUGAUCCCAUAGAAGGAGCACUGUACAUUGAGAGACCGCUCUUAGUUCUAAGGAACGCAGCAGGCGCGUAAAUUGCCCAAUAAUAGUACAAAAACACAGUGAACAUUUCUAGCUCUCAUAUCAUCUAUUGAGGCAGUGAUAAGCUGUAACGGUUGAGUAUUAAUCUAAUUUGACGUGUAUCUGGCAUGCGUUAUACGUUUACGCGUAUAUUACUGCAUACGCCGAUACUAUGUGUGCUCAGUCUGGAAUGCGGUGAGUCUAAACAACUCAGAACCUACGUUAUCAUAUACGUGUAUCUGAAUGUUCAAGUGGAGGGCAAGUCUGGUGCCAGCAGCCGCGGUAAUACCAGCUCCACUGGCCUAUACAAUCAUUGUUGCGGUUAAGAGGCUCGUAGUUGGAUUGAACUAAAUAUUUUUAUAUAUAUUUACAACACUGUGAUCAAAUCAGCAUGUAUCACGUAUGUAUUACUAAUACACGCAUUGUAUGUUUAUUCAUGGAAUGUUGCUCUGUAUUUUAUUAUACAAUUAUACGUCGAUGGGGAUAGUUGGAGUCAACAGUACUAGUAGGCGAGCGGUGAAAUGCAUUGACCCUACCAAGACUACCAAAAGCGAAAGCAGUUGUCUAGGCUAUAUUCUUUGUACUUGUAUACCAUCAUUAUACAAUACACAUACACACUUUACAAUGAAGAACGAAGGUUGGGGGAUCAAAGAGGAUCAGAUACCCUCGUCGUCCCAUUUUAUACAUCAAACGAUGGGUUCUCACUCGACCAAAAAUACAUAUCAAGACUUGUAGUACAUACUUCUGUACUCGUCUAUAUUACUGAUUUUCUAAGCUUUGCGCUCAAUUUUAUACGGUGAGAUGUAAGUAAUGGCUGUAUCUUUAUGAUGCAUGCUAUAUUAUGAUGCACGUAUUAGGCAUGCGCUUACUGCAGAAAUGUCUGAGAUAUUCCCCUCCGGGGGUAGUAUGCACGCAAGUGUGAAACUUGAAGGAAUUGACGGAAGGGCACCACAAGAACGCGUGGAGCAUGUGGCUUAAUUUGACUCAACGCGGGAAAUCUUACCGGGUCCGGACACACUGAGGAUUGACAGACAAACACAUUUAUGUGUUAUAAAGAUGCUAGUUCUUUCAUGAUUAUGUGAUAGGUGGUGCAUGGCCGUUCUUAGUUCGUGGAGUGAUCUGUCUGCUUAAUUGCGUUUCAAUAUUUUAUUACGUAUACGUAUGACCAACUACCUUUAAAAGGUAUGUUUGUGUCUAGUAUGCUAUAAUUUGAAAGCAACGAACGUGACCGUAUCCUUUUAUUAUGUACGCACGCGUAUAUUUAUUUCAUUAAAGGGACCGCUGUUUCUUUCUUUAAACCAGAGGAAGGUUACGGCAAUAACAGGUCUGUGAUGCCCUUCGAUGUUCCGGGCUGCACACGUGCUACAAUGAUUAUUUCAUUAAGUAUCUAAUCUUUUUAUGUAUCGUACCUCUGUGUAUGUUCAAAAAUACCUACCCUGAGAAUGGGCGGGUAAUCAAUUGGAAGUAACGAUUUCCUUUUUUUAAUACGCAACUAUGUACCGUAUAUUACAUCCCACAUAUUUUCAAUAUAUGUGCGUGUGUGUUUUAUUACCGUGUACGCGUAACUGUUAAUUCAUGGUGGGGAUAGACCAUUGUUAAUUGUUGGUCUCGGUCUUAACUAGGAAUGCCUUGUACGGGUCAUUGGUUCAACAAACCACCCGGAAUACGUCCCUGCCCUUUGUACACACCGCCCGUCGCUCUUACCGAUGAACUUCGCUAUGAAUCUAUUGGACUGUGCUCUCUUAUGAGUGCGGAAAGAUAUAUGAAUAGUGUGGUUUAAAGGAAAGAGAAGUCGUAACAAGGCAUCAGUAGGUGAACCUGCUGAUGGAUCAUUA
This 2256-nucleotide ribosomal RNA is filed under the name Elphidium aculeatum. Its description in RNAcentral is "SSU rRNA". It matches the Rfam family "Eukaryotic small subunit ribosomal RNA". Lineage: Eukaryota; Foraminifera; Rotaliida; Elphidiidae. The record is from RNAcentral.